CUCAGUUCGGAUCGGAGUCUGCAACCCGACUCCGUGAAGCUGGAUUCGCUAGUAAUCGCGCAUCAGCCAUGGCGCGGUGAAUACGUUCCCGGGCCUUGUACACACCGCCCGUCAAGCCAUGGAAGCCGGGAGUGCCUGAAGUUCGUGACCGCAAGGAGCGACCUAGGGCAAAACCGGUGACUGGGGCUAAGUCGUAACAAGGUAAC
RNAcentral lists this ribosomal RNA (206 nucleotides) under uncultured bacterium. Its description in RNAcentral is "partial 16S ribosomal RNA". It matches the Rfam family "Bacterial small subunit ribosomal RNA", at positions 1287 to 1500 of the family's 1533-position model. The record is from RNAcentral.